AGAGCAUCUAGGCCGCCAGCAUUGUCUGGUGGUCCAGGGCCAUUACGUCGGCAUACGUUCGACGGUGGUUGCUCAUGGGUGGAACGUUGAUUAUUCGGCACCCUUGACCGUCUUCUCUUUGAUAACUGUGCCUUCGGGGGAGGGAAAGGAAAAUCAAGACUGAAGGGGGUACCGGGCCCGGUACUGUGUGUGAGAGGAUAGGGCCGAGAGGUUGUGUUCUGUGUUCCCCCCCCGGCCCACUCACCGUGCCGGGGUGGGGUGGGGGGGGGGGUGGUUGUUUGUGAAAUGAGCACUGCACACGCGAAUCUCUGU
This 312-nucleotide unclassified non-coding RNA is filed under the name Streptomyces turgidiscabies. RNAcentral describes it as "16S-23S ribosomal RNA intergenic spacer". The record is from RNAcentral. Lineage: Bacteria; Bacillati; Actinomycetota; Actinomycetes; Kitasatosporales; Streptomycetaceae.